This is a long non-coding RNA of Phymastichus coffea, 492 nucleotides long. RefSeq lists it as uncharacterized. The record is from RefSeq and is a predicted model, not a curated record. The transcript has 3 exons. NCBI's taxonomy places the organism in Eukaryota, Metazoa, Arthropoda, Insecta, Hymenoptera, Eulophidae.
UUCUGCGUUACCUAACCUCUCAUUCUUCUUUCGCACCUAAGCUCGCACUUAUACACGUCCUUUUUCGAUCUCUCGUUCUACCAUGUCAGAUAUAUUGAAGAUUUAUAAUAUUAAAAUUGGUGACUCAACGUGUCCCAGUGAGGUGCUUAGAAAUAGAUGAAAUAAGUAAUGAGUUAUUACUCAGAGAUGCAGAUCUCUCGGUUUUAUCGACGAACUUCGUGCCUGGACGGCUAACGUUCGCCAAUCAUUUUACCUGAAUGAAUUUUCCACGAUCUCGAGACCGACAAUAAACCCGCCUAACCUAUCCAGAGAAACUGCCAGUGGUCAGAGCCAGAGCAAUCAUAACGACUCAGCGAAGGAUGAGGUCAUGCGCCACGAAACCGUGCAUGUACUAAUAGACCGUAAAUGACACCGGUAUAUUCGAAAAAUAGAACAGAAAUAUCUUGCCGCUGUAAACGAGCUCGACGAGGUAAAGAAGAAAUUCGUUGUAAA